CUAUGCGCCUUGCCAGCCCGCUCAGGUGUGCCAGCAGCCGCGGUAAUACGUAGGGGCAAGCGUUAUCCGGAUUUACUGGGUGUAAAGGGAGCGUAGACGGUUAUGCAAGUCUGGAGUGAAAGCCCGGGGCUCAACCCCGGGACUGCUUUGGAAAACUGUAAAACUGGAGUGCAGGAGAGGCAGGCGGAAUUCCUAGUGUAGCGGUGAAAUGCGUAGAUAUUAGGAGGAACACCAGUGGCGAAGGCGGCCUGCUGGACUGUAACUGACGUUGAGGCUCGAAGGCGUGGGGAGCAAACAGG
RNAcentral lists this ribosomal RNA (299 nucleotides) under uncultured bacterium. RNAcentral's name for it is "partial 16S ribosomal RNA". It matches the Rfam family "Bacterial small subunit ribosomal RNA", at positions 475 to 776 of the family's 1533-position model. The record is from RNAcentral.